UAGGGCUUCACACGUCAUACAAUGGUCGGUACAGAGGGUUGCCAAGCCGCGAGGUGGAGCCAAUCCCUUAAAGACCGACUCGUAGCCCGGAUCGUAGUCUGCAACUCGACUACGUGAAGUCGGAAUCGCUAGUAAUCGCAGAUCAGCAUGCUGCGGUGAAUACGUUCCCGGGUCCUU
This 177-nucleotide ribosomal RNA is filed under the name uncultured Thauera sp. RNAcentral's name for it is "partial 16S ribosomal RNA". It matches the Rfam family "Bacterial small subunit ribosomal RNA", at positions 1209 to 1382 of the family's 1533-position model. Lineage: Bacteria; Pseudomonadati; Pseudomonadota; Betaproteobacteria; Rhodocyclales; Zoogloeaceae. The record is from RNAcentral.